GGAGCCAUAGGGAGGGAUUCCAAUCCAGUCUUAGGAAAAGAAACCUACCACAGGAGUCUUGGAGAUUGGCGACUGUCCUAAUGACUUA
This is a non-coding RNA of Equus caballus (horse), 88 nucleotides long. The record is from Rfam. Lineage: Eukaryota; Metazoa; Chordata; Mammalia; Perissodactyla; Equidae.